RNA transcript from Phalaenopsis equestris, 4283 nucleotides. It is a transcript of the gene named casein kinase 1-like protein 4, with no coding region annotated. The record is from RefSeq and is a predicted model, not a curated record. Lineage: Eukaryota; Viridiplantae; Streptophyta; Magnoliopsida; Asparagales; Orchidaceae. The transcript has 18 exons.
CGAAACGGGCACGAGGUCUGGUCCGAUCUAGAUAAGGCUGUUUGUUCAUUGCGCCCCAGGCUUAGUGCCCGUAUUCCCCACACGUCGUCGUCUUCCUCCUACUCCUCUUCCUUGUGCCCGAUACCAAUCCCCUAUACCAUCGAUUACUUCUCCACCAUCUGGUCAAUCCCUUGGCCACCAUAUCCCUCUCUCUCUCUCUUUCUCUCUCUUGAUGCACAUCUGAGGUAUGGAUCGAAUCAUCGGUGGGAAAUACAAGUUAGGUCGGAAGAUUGGAAGUGGAUCUUUCGGCGAGAUCUACCUAGCUACGCAUGUCGACUCUUUCGAGAUCGUCGCCGUCAAGAUCGAAAAUAGCAAGACGAAGCACCCACAACUGCUUUAUGAGGCCAAACUCUACAACAUUCUGCAAGGAGGAAGUGGUAUUCCAAACACAAAAUGGUGUGGUUUGGAUGGGGAGGACAAUGCCCUUGUUCUUGACUUGCUUGGUCCUAGUCUUGAGGAUUUGUUUGUCUAUUGUGGAAGGAAAUUUUCUUUGAAAACAGUCUUGAUGUUGGCUGAUCAGAUGAUAACUAGAAUAGAGUAUGUGCACUCAAAGGGCUUUUUACAUAGGGAUAUUAAGCCUGAUAACUUUCUUAUGGGGCUUGGUCGGAAAGCGAACCAGGUGUAUAUAAUUGAUUUUGGGCUUGCAAAAAGAUAUAGAGAUGCUACUACCAACCGUCAUAUACCAUACAGAGAGAAUAAAAACUUGACUGGGACUGCUCGAUAUGCAAGCUGCAACACCCAUUUGGGCAUUGAACAAAGCCGUAGGGAUGAUUUGGAAUCGCUGGGCUAUGUUCUUCUAUACUUCCUUCGGGGAAGCCUUCCAUGGCAGGGCCUAAAAGCUGCAACAAAAAAGCAGAAGUAUGAUAAGAUAUGUGAGAAGAAGCUUUCGACUCCCAUUGAAGUUUUGUGCAAAUCACAUCCUGUGGAAUUUGCAUCUUACUUCCAUUAUUGUCACUCCUUGACAUUUGAUCAAAGGCCAGAUUAUGGAUUUUUGAAGCGCCUUUUUCGGGAUUUGUUCAGCCGAGAUGGAUAUGAAUUUGACUACAUUUUUGACUGGACAAUUCUAAAAUAUCAGCAAGCCCAUAGGACAAAGCCUCAACCUCGGUUUUCUCCAGUAUCUGGUGGUACGAGUGGUAGAGCUACCCCCAUGGAUGUUGACAAGCGUCAAGUUAACUGUGAAGUUUCCGGUGCUGUUGAUGUUCAAGAAGAUGUCACGGAGAGAGUAGGGCCAAGUAAUGUUUCAAGACCAACUGUUCGAAUGCAGUUUAAAGCUGCAGGUGAUAAGAAUUUGGCUUCCGACAGUCAGAGACUUGGCAAGCUGAGAGUAGGUACAGGCACUGACAAGUUUCACAUGUCAUCCACUUCAUUUGUGCUUCCAAGCAUUUCGAAGAAGAAUGUUGGAGGCUCCAAUCCUUCAGGCACAACUGAUGCUUCUCAUGUUGCUCGCGCUGGGGGAAAUUCCGGGUCUUCUAGCAGCUGGCUUCCUGCAUUGCAGCGAAACGCUUCAGCCAAAUGAUAGCGUGAUUUAUGAAAAAUGUCAAGUUGCUUUAUCGAUAAUGAAGUGCAUCCUGUAUUUCCAUUACGGUUACCACAGACUCAUUGGAUGCUAAGUGAAGAUCUUUACAAUGGUUGACGUGUGGAAAAUGCAACAGUUGAAAGGCUUGUACAUUUAUUCUUGUAAUAGUUGUUUCAGAGCUAAAGAUGAUCGUCUGCGUCAAUUUUAGCAUUAGGUACUCUGCUGAGUAGAGCAAACACUAGUGUUUCCACUGCAGUUUUCUAUGCUUUUGUUUAUUUGACAAAAAUUCGACUUCUGUCAGAGAAUGGUGCUGUAAUGGAAGAAUGGUGCAAAGAGGCAAUGGUCAUAGAAGUGGAUGGUGGUAGUAACUUGAUUGAUGUCAUGCAAAGAAAGCUCUCUAGUAAGUUAUUGGUAACAACCAUUGAAGACCCCGAAUGAGAAUGUUAAAAUCGAAGGCUUAUUCAAGGAAAAAAAAAACUAUUACAAAGAGUUAUGUAUUAACAAGAUGGUCCAACAUAAGCAUUUGCAGGCCUUUCCUUAUCAUCAGUAAGCAAUGGAGGAAUCAUGCUUUGGUGAGAGAAUAAGACAGAUGUAAUAAUAUCUGUGAGCUAAAAGUACAAAAUUAUGUUUGGGUGAGCAAAUAAUUCUUUUUUUUAUUUUUUUACCAGUAUAUAUUUUUCUCUUAGUGACAUCGUAGAUCCAAGUGAAUUUCUAGAUUUUUGCGAGAGCAAUGGUAGCAAUGGCUUAUUAAGAUAGGAAGGGGAGGAAUAAUUGAUUUGAUGACAAUGAUUUUGCAUACUGAAAGAUGCAGAUUGUGGAUUAUUCAUAUAAGAGAAAUUUACAUCUAUCUUUGAGUUGAGAAGUUGACAAUUAUGACUCAAGAAGAUUGAGAUUUCUUAUAAAGAUAGGCGCUUGGAGACGUAUGUUUGUCAUUGGCAAAGAAUGUUUUUAAAUAUAUUCCAUGAAGUACUACAACUCAUGUGAUGGAAGCUCCCAUCAAACAUGUGUGAGAUGCUUUUGAUAUUACAAUGGAGGUAUCUCUAAUGAUAAAUUUCUUUGUCUCCAGAUGCCCAAAGUUGAAGGCACUUUUUAAGUGUCUCAUAUCGAUGAGUUUAAUUUGAUUGCUAGUCAGUUGAGAUUGAUUGACAUUAACAUCAUAAUAAAAUUCAAGCAUAAAGAUUGCUAUCAUCACUACUAAAAAGUUGGGCUUGAACUAUAUUAGCUAUUAGUAAUUCAGAUGCGUUUGUAAAGUUGAAGGUCCAUGAUGUCCAUGACCUGAUCUUUAAUGAAGACAUAAAGAGUUGAAAAUCAAGGGAAUCUUCUUACAUUCUUGGGAGUAGAGGAAGAAGUGUAAAAUGAGACGCUAAAGGUGGAUUCAAAUGUCAACUGAGGAGCUAAUCAAAAAGUUCAUGAUGGUUGUGUGCUGGUUAUGUAAAAAUGAUUGUGGUCUCAUGGAAAGAGAAUUUUCACAUAAUGAUGGUAGAAAAAAAUUGAAUUAGAUCAAUAAAGAAUGAAUGGUACAUGAGAGAUAUGAUACACUAUUCAUGUCUUUUGAUUGAACGGCAUAUAAAAAGUUUAUUCUUAAUUAUUUGUAAGAGAUUGUUGGACGAUUCACGUUAUUAAUGAUGAACUUUUAUAUUUUGCUGGAGUUUAUGAUGUGCAAAUCAAGUUGUAAUGGGAUUAUAUAGAAUCUUCACUUUAUGAGAUGUUUUUGGCUUGAAGAGGAAUUUGAUUGGGUGGGUUGAUAAUGAAAGUUACAUCUCAAACCUUCUGUAGUAAUAUUUGGAAGGUGUUGUAGGGUGUUAUGUUGAUCGCAUGUGGAAACAAGAUAGUAUCAUGUGUAUGUCAAUCACUGAAAUUUUGGAAUCAAUUUGUUAAAUCUAUUGCUGCUACUGAUUUUAGAGGUGCAGUGCGUAAUAAUGUUUUUUUUAAAUGGGUGCUUUCAAAAUGACACGGGGCUUACAGGGAAAAUGGAAGUUCAAGAUGAAGUAGCAAACAUGGUUGCAAGGAUGAUUGUAAAUGAUUUUAUGUUUGUCAUCAACGAACUCAGGUAUUGCAAAGCUUUAGUGAAGCCAUAUAGAUGAUUAAAAUGGCAUGCCACAUGGGGAAGACUCUUGAGAUUAUGCAUGGGUAAAAAUGAUUAUGUUGCCACUUAAUGCCAUUUUUUUCUACAAGUUUGUCAUUUAAAUAUUAUAUAAAGAGAUUGUUGUAUGAUAUCGAAGGGCGUAAGUUUUUAAUCUUCUUCAUUCAGUUAGAUGUAGAGGUGGAUAUUGAAGAAUUAUUUGAUAGAGUGAUCUUAGUUGGUAUAAUAAGUAGGUUAUUUUACUAGGUGAUCAGCUACUACUAGUAAAAAGGCUCGGAUAUUACAAUUGGAAGUUGGAUAUAGGAUGUCGUUGGGUUUCGUCCAUCAUCAGUUAACAUGGCAGGCUGAGAGAGGGAUAUUAUUGAGAUGAAUGCGAGACGAGACAUAUUUGAGCGAGCAAAUAAUUGUAUCUUGAUUUGUUUCUUGAUUAGUGGAUAUUUUUCAUUGUGCGGCUGUAAAUAUAUGUUCAUUAUAUCGAGCCACAUAAAUCGGAAGAAAUCAAUUUCUCGUGUAACCUGGGUGGGGUUAAUAUGCAUUCUUAUCCACCUUAUGGUUGUAUAUUUGUAAUUUUUUAUUACAUUCACUUGGAACACUCUUCGGGUUUUCUUAGCACUUGUAAUUUUAUUCAUUUGUUCCCACUGUUGU